RNAcentral lists this non-coding RNA (46 nucleotides) under Schistosoma mansoni. Lineage: Eukaryota; Metazoa; Platyhelminthes; Trematoda; Strigeidida; Schistosomatidae. The record is from RNAcentral.
GCACUAUUGAAGAGUCCAAUACUAGGACUAAACGGCCGUCAAGUGC